UACAGGGGGGGCAAGCGUUGUUCGGAAUUACUGGGCGUAAAGGGCUCGUAGGCGGCCGGCUAAGUCCGACGUGAAAUCCCCAGGCUUAACCUGGGAACUGCGUCGGAUACUGGCGGGCUUGAAUCCGGGAGAGGGAUGCGGAAUUCCAGGUGUAGCGGUGAAAUGCGUAGAUAUCUGGAGGAACACCGGUGGCGAAGGCGGCAUCCUGGACCGGCAUUGACGCUGAGGCGCGAAAGCCAGGGGAGCAAACGGG
This 253-nucleotide ribosomal RNA is filed under the name uncultured bacterium. RNAcentral describes it as "partial 16S ribosomal RNA". It matches the Rfam family "Bacterial small subunit ribosomal RNA", at positions 524 to 776 of the family's 1533-position model. The record is from RNAcentral.